ACUCAAAGGAAUAGACGGGGGCUCACACAAGCGGUGGAGGAUGUGGCUUAAUUCGAGGCUACGCGAAGAACCUUAUCCUAGUCUUGACAUGGUGGGAUUAACCGCUGGAAACAGCGGCCACGCCUUCGGGUGGAACCAUCACAGGUGCUGCAUGGCUGUCGUCAGCUCGUGUCGUGAGAUGUCGCGUUAAGUCGCUUAACGAGCGAAACCCUUGUCUCCAGUUGCCAGCGGGUCAAGCCGGGGACUCUGGAGAGACUGCCGGUGUUAAACCGGAGGAAGGUGGGGAUGACGUCAAGUCCUCAUGGCCUUUAUGACUAGGGCUGCACACGUCCUACAAUGGCACGCAUAAAGGGACGCCAAAUCGUAAGAUCAAGCAAAUCCCAAAAAACGUGCCCCAGUUCGGAUUGCAGGCUGCAACCCGCCUGCAUGAAGCCGGAAUCGCUAGUAAUCGCGGAUCAGAAUGCCGCGGUGAAUGUGUUCCUGAGCCUUGCACACACCGCCCGU
Molecule: ribosomal RNA, 504 nt
Filed under: uncultured bacterium
Lineage: Bacteria
Description: partial 16S ribosomal RNA
Rfam family: Bacterial small subunit ribosomal RNA
Source: RNAcentral